Molecule: ribosomal RNA, 474 nt
Filed under: uncultured organism
Description: partial 16S ribosomal RNA
Rfam family: Bacterial small subunit ribosomal RNA
Source: RNAcentral
GUAACUCCUACGGGAGGCAGCAGUGGGGAAUUUUGGACAAUGGGCGAAAGCCUGAUCCAGCAAUGCCGCGUGAGUGAAGAAGGCCUUCGGGUUGUAAAGCUCUUUUGUCAGGGAAGAAACGGUGAAAGCUAAUAUCUUUUGCUAAUGACGGUACCUGAAGAAUAAGCACCGGCUAACUACGUGCCAGCAGCCGCGGUAAUACGUAGGGUGCAAGCGUUAAUCGGAAUUACUGGGCGUAAAGCGUGCGCAGGCGGUUUUGUAAGUCUGAUGUGAAAUCCCCGGGCUCAACCUGGGAAUUGCAUUGGAGACUGCAAGGCUAGAAUCUGGCAGAGGGGGGUAGAAUUCCACGUGUAGCAGUGAAAUGCGUAGAUAUGUGGAGGAACACCGAUGGCGAAGGCAGCCCCCUGGGUCAAGAUUGACGCUCAUGCACGAAAGCGUGGGGAGCAAACAGGAUUAGAAACCCCAGUAGUCCCA